RNAcentral lists this unclassified non-coding RNA (200 nucleotides) under Chaetothyriales sp. Its description in RNAcentral is "partial internal transcribed spacer 2". The record is from RNAcentral. Lineage: Eukaryota; Fungi; Ascomycota; Eurotiomycetes; Chaetothyriales.
UUAAGUUCAGCGGGUAUCCCUACCUGAUCCGAGGUCAACCUUGUAAAAAAAGAAGUGUCCCUGUGGGGGGACGGUGACCGGGUCUGGACUUCUAGCCUAGUACGUGCCCGAAAGCUCAGUGUACAGGAGUCCUCACAGACGCCGUCAUUAUCUUUGGGAAGAGCGGGGGGGCGCGAGCCGCCCCCGCUGCGACCAACAAC